Molecule: RNA transcript, 3270 nt
Organism: Mercurialis annua (annual mercury)
Lineage: Eukaryota; Viridiplantae; Streptophyta; Magnoliopsida; Malpighiales; Euphorbiaceae
Gene name: RINT1-like protein MAG2
Exons: 6
Source: RefSeq, a predicted model, not a curated record
GAAACGAGUCUGGGUCCGAGUUAGAUACAGACAUAGUAAUUCCUCUCUGCAAGCAAAUAUGAACAAGACAGCCAGACUAUUCAUCAUCUUCUUCGCCUGAUCAUUCAAAUUCCGAAAUUACCCUCACUGAAUGAUCAAAUUUGCCAAAUCUAACACUAGUAAUGGCAUGAAAACAAAAUAAUGGACUCCAAAAAUCCCCAAACAGUCCCUCAUUUCUCAACUCUAUCAACAUCAGCAGUCUCAUUCCUCAAUGAAAGAGUCUACACUUCACAAGAUCUCCAAACGGCGUCGAAUCUCGCGUCGGAGCUACAAUCACAGUGUUCGGAGUUGGAAAAUACAUUACUCGGUCUCAAUUCGAGACUCGAGUUAAGUCUUGUUGCGUACACUUCAUUUUCAAAUCAAUUUCAAGGUCUAAUAGGUGAAGCCAAUCGAAAAUUGACCGAUCUCGGGUCUGUCAAGCGAUCGUCUACCUCUCUAUUAUCAGAAGAUGAAGAAUGGAGGAAAGGACAGAUGUCAGGGGAGGAGCUGCGUGCACUUGCCAAGGAGGUUGCUAGAGUGGAAACCGUUCGAGCUUAUGCCGAGACAGCUUUGAAGCUUGACACUUUAGUUGGUGAUAUUGAAGAUGCAGUGUCCUCUGCUAUUAACAAAAACCUAAGGAAGCAUUCCUCUAAACAGAGCUCAGAAGAAAUGCGACUGCUUGCUAUUGAAGCACUUGGAAAAACAGAAACUGUUUUAACUUCAAUCACAAAGACACGCCAUCAGUGGACACAUCUUGUAUCGGCUGUUGAUCACAGAGUAGAUAGAGCUUUGGCUAUUUUAAGACCGCAGGAAAUUGCAGAUCAUCGGGCCCUUCUUUCUUCACUUGGAUGGCCACCACCUCUUUCAACCUCAACUGAAGCCCCCAACCCUCUAUUCACAAUGCAAGGGGACCUCAAAAACAAGUAUUGUGAAAAUUUUCUUGCUUUGUGCCGCUUGCAGGGGCUGCAAAGACGAAGAAAAUCUCGGCAACUUGAAGGCCAUAACAGGGAAGUUGCUCUGCAUCAGCCACUUUGGGCAAUUGAAGAACUUGUGAAUCCUUUAUCAAUUGCAUGCCAACAACAUUUUUCAAAGUGGAAUGAUAAAUUGGACUUCAUUUUUGCACUUGUUUAUAAGAUUACAAGAGAUUAUGUUGACACUAUGGAUGAAUUAUUGCAACCGCUGGUUGAUGAAGCAAGGCUAGUGGGUUAUAGUUGCAGAGAAGAAUGGAUUUCAGCAAUGGUAACAUCUUUAUUGACAUACUUAGCGAAAGAGGUUUUCCCUAAAUAUAUUUCUCAACUGGAUGAAGAGAGUGUCAUUGGCAUUCAAUUGCAAGCUAAAAUAUCAUUCCUCCAUCUCCUUGACUUGAUGAUUUCAUUUGAUAAACGUAUUAUGUCCCUGAUAUCACAUUCUGGGAGUAUGCUUUCCCUCCUGGAAGAUGAGAACUUGCAGAAGAUUUCUUCUCUCUCUGUCUUUAAUGACAGACCUGACUGGCUUGAUCUAUGGGCAGAAAUAGAGCUCAGUGAAACUCUUGAGAAGCUAAAACCCGAGGUAGAUGAUGAGAGAAAUUGGACAAUAAAAAUUCAAGGGGCAGCUCUUUUAUCUGGUCCUGAAAAUUAUAAAUCUCCUGUGGUUUCCAGUGCCUUCCUUCGCCACAUAUCUUUGGUGGUUGAUCGAUGUCGAUCAUUGCCUAGUACUUCUCUAAGGUCAAGGUUUCUCAGAUUGGCCGGUCUACCUCUUCUACAACGAUUUCUGGAUUGUGUUCUUCUGAGGUGCCAAGAAGCUGAAGGACUGACUGCAUUAACAGAUGACAAUGCCUUAAUCAAAGUUGCAAAUUCCUUAAAUGCUGCUCACUACGUUGAGUCCAUAAUAAAGGAAUGGUGUGAAGAUAUUCUGUUUCUUGAAAUGGGAUUUGAUAAUGGUGAUCCAAUAGGAUCAUCAAAUAACAUUGAUCACAGGGAGGCAUCGGCUGAUGGACCUGUUAGUGGCAUUUUUGACGAGGAAAUAAGGAAGUUGGAGGAUUUCCGAAAAGAGUGGGUUGAAAAGAUAUCGGUUGUUGUUUUGCGGGGAUUUGAUGCUAGGAGUAGAGAUUAUAUGAAAAACAAGAGGCAGUGGCAGGAUAAGGGAGAAGAAGGCUGGACAGUUUCCAAGAGUUUUGUUGGUGCUUUAGACUAUUUACAAGGAAAGAUGGUAAUUGUGGAAGAGAAUUUAAAUGGAAUAGAUUUUGUUGGUGUAUGGAGAAGUUUGGCUGCUGGGGUCGAUCGCUUGCUUUUCAAUGGUAUCCUUAUGGGCAAUGUGAAGUUUCAUGAUUGUGGUGUUGAAAGGCUUGAUCAUGAUUUGGAAGUUUUGUUUGGGGUUUUUGGAGCUUGGUGCUUGAGGCCUCAAGGCUUUUUUCCCAAAAUAAGUGACAGUUUGAAGCUGCUGAAAAUGGGGAAGAAGCAGUUUCAGGAUAAUUUGGCAAGACCAGAAAAGUGGAUGAAGGAGCACGGAAUCAGGCAUUUAGGCGUAGCUGAGGUUGAAAAGAUACUAAACAGUAGAGUCAUGAGUUAAGGGUUUGCAAAUAGAACUCUUUUUUCCUAAAUAUCAACACAGUUAAUACCAAACAUGGAAGCGAACAGAGAGCUUGUUUGAGACUGCAGGGUUCCAUCUUAUUCCAACAGUGAAGGAAGGAAACAGAUCAAAGAGAAGCUACUCAAAAGGAUCUAAAAGAGAAGAUGAAGGUUGAGGGGUCCAAAGAUAAAGAGAGUAUAUGAAAAAGAACUAUUUGAGGAGACCAUAUAUGAAGAAACAGUAGCAUAAGCCUGCCAAUUGUAGUCCACAACAUCCUCUGAUUGAAACAACAUAUUGCAGUCUGUUACCGGAAAUUUAGGGGCUAGAUUUGAGAGUUUGGUAAAUGAUGCCAAAUACCCAAUUAUUGGUUUUGUCUUUUUUCAACCAUUCCUCAAUGUUGAAAAAAAUAUCAUAAACUUUUUGCUUUCUCAUUUAAUCUCAUAAUUUAAAAGUACAAAGUUCGUCAUGCAAACUAAUAUCUACUCAUUAGUGGGUACGGGUGAUUUAGAAGGAAAAUAUGACUAUUUAUUGUAAGGUAGGUACAUUAUAUGGGUGUAAUCGAGUAGAAUCAAGCAAAUUAUUUGUGAUUAGCUCGAAAUAUAUUCAAAUCAAUUCGAUUUUAGUUGAAUUGAUGUCGAGUUGGAGGUCAAACUUGAACUAUUUGAAUAAAUUACCGAGUCAAGUUUGAACAUUAAAAUACGCGGC